GUCUAAAUUCCCCUGAAUCCCUAUCAGGGAUUGAAAC
RNAcentral lists this non-coding RNA (37 nucleotides) under Coleofasciculus chthonoplastes PCC 7420. Lineage: Bacteria; Bacillati; Cyanobacteriota; Cyanophyceae; Coleofasciculales; Coleofasciculaceae. The record is from RNAcentral.